UGAAAUAGUUAAAUAAUAUUUUUAUCAUUCCGUCUCCGUUACCAAAUUUAUAAGAUCAAAGAAAGAUACUCCGACACUUUAGUACUUCUCACUCCUGCAAAGAGAAGCCUCAGUCCAACGGCCACACUCCACCGUCGUCACCAAUAUACCUGUUGCACCCAACACCACCGUCACCACAACAUCGCCGUCACCUUCGCGCAUUUCCUUCUCUUUCAAUAUUUCCCUUUUCAUUUCAACGAGGUACAUAUAAGGAAAUAGCUGGGAUUUGAUUGGUUUUCUGUUCUCUUCUAUUUUAACUUUCAUCAGAUCUGACAGCCAUCAGUGGUGGAGCUCGAAUUGUUUUAUGCUUUGUUUGUUUGGGGUUUGUGGGUUUAGAUGUUGCGCCUGAGAGGCACCUAAUGGACUUUGUUGGUUUAGAGUCCUCUUCCUGAUGCCCCAGUUAAGUUUUCACUACCUCCUGCCUUACCAAAGGCUUACUGGUAUUUGGCUCUUCUACAUCCAUAUACACAAUGCUCUGUACUGGGCUUGAUGAUUGGGGUGUAGUUGAUUGGUGGAAUAGCAUCCGCAGGAUAGAAAUCGGCAACAGAGGUGUACUUUUGUGUUUCUCAAUAAGUAAAAUUCUUAUAAUGUGACGAUUGUUAUUAAUGUUUUAUCAUGGACAUUUGGUAUAACGUUGUCACCUUUGACACCAUCAUCUCAGCCAUCGCCGUUCGUCUUAUGGACAUUUGGUGGAGUUAAGGAUAGGUGAAUUUGAAUGACUAUUGCAUGAUUACGUAUAUAAGCUGCAUGCUUAUGUAUGGACGUAUGAAUUGAGAUCACCGGAAUACUCUCUGCAGCCACUGCAGUCAGUCGAAGAAUUGAAGGUUAGAAUCUCCUUAAUCUUCAUACUUAGCUCUUGAUUGUCAUGUUCUUUCAUAACAUGGGAGGAAACGGAAAAUGAGUCAUCUUUGUUAAAGAACAAUUUCUUGCUUGGAAUGAGUAGUUCGAAGAUAUUUGUUUUCUCUUUAUGGUCUUAAAUUGACAAAAGAAAAUAUUAGAAGAGGCCUAAUUACCGUGUCUCAUUGAUAAUUUUCUUUGUUUAAGUCAAAUUACGGUAUAUUUAAAGAAAAUAAAAAACAGAAUCCAAGAUACACUUACAUUAUGAGCAGCCACUAACAGUGUGGAAUGGAAGCACUAUUCUCAUUUCUUAACUUAAUUCAAGAUGUAAAUUUCCCUUUUCUGACAUCUAAAACCACUUUGUUUCCUUCACACACAAAUCCUAUAGCUGCUAAGGAAAAGGGAGCAAGUGACUAAGUCUUCAGAGUAGGCGUUGCUUGGAAAAAUUUCUUGUUUGUUUUGAUCUUAUGGAAAAAUUUCUUGUUUAUUUUGAUCUUAAAUUUGUCAUUAUACAGUAUGAUGGUUUUGAAUGCUGUCAUAUUUAGUGUGCUAAGAAAGUGGUGUUUGGUAAUUCUAUGUUUGUGUUAUUCAGACCUUUGAUACUAAUACGAAAAUUGAUAAGCUAUUAAUCGUAAGUUUUUCAUAUAGACCUUUUGAUACUCAAAUGAAAUAAUAAGUUGUCUAUAUGAUUCGGUACUUGCUCUCACAACGUUGCCUUUAUAGCACAAUAUUAGAGCUUUGUUUUCACUCCCUGGACUGCCUCUGUUGCUCGGUAGAGUACCCCUACGAUUUGAUUACCAUCAUAAUGCUAUUUUUGUUAGAAUUGUUUGUUCCUUCACUUUCUACUUACACCCAUCACAGUGUAUGUUCACUUUGAGAACACAUGUCUGCAGCAAGCCACAAGACAACAAUAUGAAUGCAGGGAAAGAAACAGAGGAAGACAGGAAUUUGUUUCAGUGAAAAGGCCAGAACACAACUGUCAUAUGCAUAUGGAUACAACGUUGGCUUUAAAGCCAAACUGCAGUUGUUCUUGGAGAGAAAAUACCUAGAUUUUUCAGGAGCUUAAAGUCUUCAUCUUUAGUAAUUUCUUGAGGGUUGUUUGGAAUUUAUCAAUCUGCUACAAAAGGAAAUAAUCUGAAGUAGUUUCAGUUGUUCACAGGGCUGGUGAAGCUUUUUGCUGUUGAAAUUGACAGCUUAAUGAUAAUUGUGGCAAAUCCUUGACUAGUUUCUGAAUAGGAAGAAAGAUUACAAGGAUAGAAACUAUUCUCAGGAAUCAUCAUGGUCUCUGUCGCUGCUGGGGCCUUCUUGUGCAUGGACAACUCACUGAUUUCUAUUAGACACGGAUUUCAGCUGUGGAAUCAGCAAGUAGACUUCAGCUACAAGUUUAUUGACGAAGUUUUCUAUCUAAUUUUCUUUAGAGAGGGGAUAUUUUGGCUUCAGAGACAGAAAAUCAGAUUCUAAAACUCUCUUGCAGUGAUUUUCAAUUUUUCUGCUAGCUUAUUUAGGAAAUCAGAAGGAAAACCAAGUGCAGUACCCGUUCUACGUGUUUUUUUUUUUUUUAUAUAUCCU
Non-coding RNA from Sesamum indicum (sesame), 2445 nucleotides. The record is from RefSeq and is a predicted model, not a curated record. Lineage: Eukaryota; Viridiplantae; Streptophyta; Magnoliopsida; Lamiales; Pedaliaceae.